AACGAACGCUGGCGGCAUGCCUAACACAUGCAAGUCGAACGAGACCUUCGGGUCUAGUGGCGCACGGGUGCGUAACGCGUGGGAACCUGCCCUUAGGUUCGGAAUAACUCCCCGAAAGGGGUGCUAAUACCGGAUAAUAUCUUCGGACCAAAGAUUUAUCGCCUUUGGAUGGGCCCGCGUUGGAUUAGCUAGUUGGUAGGGUAAAAGCCUACCAAGGCGACGAGCCAUAACUGGUCUGAGAGGAUGAUCAGCCACACUGGGACUGAGACACGGCCCAGACUCCUACGGGAGGCAGCAGUGGGGAAUAUUGGACAAUGGGCGAAAGCCUGAUCCAGCAAUGCCGCGUGAGUGAUGAAGGCCUUAGGGUUGUAAAGCUCUUUUACCCGGGAUGAUAAUGACAGUACCGGGAGAAUAAGCUCCGGCUAACUCCGUG
This 433-nucleotide ribosomal RNA is filed under the name uncultured bacterium. Its description in RNAcentral is "partial 16S ribosomal RNA". It matches the Rfam family "Bacterial small subunit ribosomal RNA", at positions 29 to 507 of the family's 1533-position model. The record is from RNAcentral.